Molecule: long non-coding RNA, 2327 nt
Filed under: Sus scrofa (pig)
Lineage: Eukaryota; Metazoa; Chordata; Mammalia; Artiodactyla; Suidae
Description: lncRNA (ENSSSCG00055004123.1)
Source: RNAcentral
ACUCAUGGACAGUAGCGUUCAGGGACAGAGGCGCUUGUUUGGGCUUUAGAUGCAUGAGCCGUGGCACCCCAAGCCCAGCUUGGUAAAGGAGUCAGCUCCAGUCUGGGGUAGAGGAGCUUUCCCAGUUGUCAUGGGGAGCUUGUCUGGGAUGCCUGUCUGGCCCUUCCACUGUUUGUUACUAUUUCUACAAAGGCAGCUCUGUGUGUUGGAUUAUGUUUGGCCAGCUGUUGACACAUUCCUGCGGGUGGGGUUGGGUGGGGAUCUUAUUACUGUACUGUCCAAACUGUAGAUCUGUGUGCACGCACGGGGAGCAGGGAGGGAAUGGAAAGAAAGCAGGUUGGAGCUGCUGAUCCCUCUUAGCGCUCCCUCCAGAUAGUACUAGAGCCAAUCCAGAAAGGCUCAAAGUGGGAAGAAGGAGAAGAGAGGACGAUGGGGGGAGGGGAGCAGUGAGGGAAAGAGAGUGAAACUGAGCAAGCACAUAAGUGAGAAAAACAGACUCAGAACUUCAAAGCUGCAGAGACAAGCAGAAUGUCAGCAGCUUGUAAUUAGUGGUUCAUGGUUGCGUCAGUAACUGUAUCUCUCCAAGAAUAACUAUGUGAUGUGUGCCACAAAGUGCAGAAGACAGUCAUAACCGAGUUAUCAAACCCGGUUCAAACAAGGGCAAAUGAAUUAGGGAAUCUUCUAUGUUUGUAAAUCAAAUACUGAUGGAUUACACAUUUGAGAUUUGCUGAAUUCUGCAUAAUUGAAGGCUGAAUUAUUUAUUCAUUGGGGAGGUGGGGAUACUGUGUAUUCAUUAAAUGAAACUGUGGACCCUUAAAAAUGCAGAUUAAUUGUGUAAGAAAAUAUUAGCACUUUGCCCCAUCAGUGCAAGAUAUUCCCCCAAAUAGCCCAAAACAGCACUGCUCGUCUCCCUUAUCUCUGCAUCCUCAGGAAGUGUUUGUUUACGUGUUUUUGUGCAUUAACAUGGAGAGGAGUUAAAAGCUAUAUUCUGAUAAAUUGGGUCAAUUGAAUUUGAAAAUGCCCAUUUUAGAAUUUGAAAACUCCUGUGGGGUUCUGCUUUUUGUUGCUAGCCCUGGUAUAAACCUUGAAGGAGCCUUGGUUGUCCUGAAGCCAAACAGCAGUGCCUGAAUAACCCCAGGCCAAGUUGGGGCACCACCGUGGUUGAGAUUCUAAGGCCACGUUUUCACUUCCCUCCCUUGUCUCUGGUUCUUAGCGAUUGCGGUGCGCCCACAGCCCCCACAGAGACACGGUGGGAGGAGCUGAUUGGUUGGUAGGCUUAGGAUGUUUACUCUUAUUUGUUUUCAGCGCUCCUCCACGGCAUUCAUUGCCUAUUUGUAUUUGUGUUCACACUGCACAAUUACUCCACACCCGCUUUGUUUCUCUGCCCGAAGAGAAGUCAAUUUCAGUUCAGCCCCGCUCUCUCUCGGCUUCCUGGGUAAUACGCGCAUAUGUAUUACGUUACCCGUUUAUGCAUUUCCCUUUUUAAUGUGGAUUAGGGAGACGCGCAGGCAGGGGAAAGCCCUGUAUAUUAAAUCAAUAGCUUUUUGAAUCCCACGUAAUAUAAUUUAAAUAUACUUACUCUGAGGUUGCCAAAGCUGACAUUGUCGGAGCCCGUUUAAUUUACAUCUUCGAUUUAGUCAAGGAGCGGAACCUGCCAGAUCAGAAUAGCUCAUUCUGUGCACCCAACAGGGUGGAAGACAUUAUUUUGUUUGUGUUCGUUCAAACAGCUGGUCAUUAAUGCAGUCCCCAUUUCGGGACUGAAGUGCUGGUGGACGUGAAUGGCUGCCUGAUUAAUGCUGCCCCUCCGUGGGUCCUUCACCCAGCAGUCAUGCCCGAAGCAGAAUAAUGUAGCAUGAUGUGAUUGCUCUCUAACAGGGUAGUAUGUCAUUGUGUCACCAAGCAAUUGAGGUUAUUAUGGGGCAGGGCAGACAGACGGGACAGUGGGGUUACUAGACCGUAGCAUUUUUAGAAAUACAGGCCUGACCUACUUAGAGUUAUUCUCUCUGGCUGGCAGCUGCAUGGUACAUAAAGUCUUCCUGAUAGGCUGAGGCUGUUGCUAGGGGGAAUUAGCAUGAAUUUUUCCACACACAGACUCAGUGACUGAAUGAUAAAAGCUGACUGGAAUUAAGGAGAUUUGGUUUAGUAUUAUACAGAUUUAUCUGCCCUGGUUUUUUCUUUCUCAAGUGCAGAGGAAGGGUGCAAAAUACAGAUUUUUGCUUCCAUUAUUCUUCGUUGACCCUCCUGUUCUCCCCACCCGAAGAGGCACCAGAGCAGGGCAGUUAUGAAAUUUUGGUUAAUGGCUUAGGGUUGGGGUCAUGGAAACGAUG